GGUAGCACGCCUGCCCGCGGGACGGCCGGGCUCGGCCCCGCCGCGGAGCAGCUCCCGCGGGGGCCUGGCCGCCGGCCUCGCCUCAGCGCCCUGAUCGGGCUGCGCGUGCUCCCUUCCCGCCGCGGGCGGGACCAUUAACGGCCGGUAGGAGCCGGUGUGGGGGGGGGGGCGGUGUUGUGACGUCUGUCACCGAACCUUCCAAAGAGGCGGGAUCGAGCUGCCUGUAACCUGCCCUGUGUACACCUAGAAAGCUGCUUUUCACACCAAGGUACCAGAGGUGAAAUCACUGUGAUUAACAGCUAGAGGAAUGUUCUUCAAGGAAGAGAAGCAGAGCAAGUGAGGUUAUUCAUAAAGGAGUCAUCAUCUAGUGGUUUGGGUUGUUGUAGGAAACAGCUUCUGAUAUAUCAAGACAAUCUGCUUUUAUUGCUAGAAGUCAUACCUCCUCCUCAAAUGAAACCAGGCUAAAGAUCGUAUAUAUGGGGACAUCCAUGGAGAGAACUGAAAGACCAAAAGCUACUAUAAAGUUCAGUGCACACAACUGGGAAACCAGACUACAGGGUUACUGGUAUUCUCUGGCUCUCGAGUCUACUGCUUUUGUUCUUACAGCCAGAGCCACAGCUAACAGUGAGAUGGACACAUGAAGGAGAAAAAUAAAUGAAACCCUACUGCUAGCAUUGUGCUGUUGCACUUUGCAACCUCAUUGCACAUUUCUGAGUGAUAGUGUGAGAGGUGGUGAACAACAAAUAACCAGAACGAGCUGCUUCUUUCCAGAGUCGUCAUCUAUUUCCGAGGUGAAGUGGUUACCCAGAGUGUGACAAAAUUCACUUACCACAAAAGCUUAUACAAUUUGAGACAGAAAUGUAAAACUGCACUUGUACACUGGAAAAAGUCAACUACAUUAAACUGGCGUUAUGUGAUUUUAAUUGAGAUGCUGCCGAAGGACAUUUCUGUGAACUUUUCUGUCACUGAGAAUUUAAGUGCUCAGAAGAAAUCAAGAACUUAAAGAGACUUCAAAAGACUUGAAACAGCUCAUAUUAACUGAGAAUGUGCUUUAUGGAUGGAUAUCAUAUCUUCAUGAUUAAAAUCUCACGAUUUUUGAUGAACUGGCUUAAGACAUAAAAAUGCUCACACCAUCUGGCUCUUUAGCUUUCCAGCAGCCAGGUGUUCUUUUAAGUACUAUAAUUUAAGUACAGACCAGGCUGCAUCUUGAAAACUUGAGAAGCGCAUAGCACCAAGUAUUUAAAACACUUCUCUUGAAUAACUGUAGAUUAUGGUUAAUUCCUCCACUUCAACAGAUAGGAUUUGGGGUGGGGGGAUGGGCAGCAUAUAAGAACUCCACAGAACUGAAAUUAAAACAGUCCUAUUAAUUAUUGGAUGACACAAUUAAAUGCUUUUAAUUGACUUCUCAGCAGUCUGAAAUAUUUCAUUUUUCCACAAUUUAUACUGAUAUUGCUUACACCAGAGUUUACAACACACCAGUAUGAGAGAGACCUCUUAUGAUCCACUCGAAUACCUGCAUGGUCUCUAUGAGAAAACACCAGCGUAAAGACUUUAGCUUAGCAUAGAAAAGAUCGCCAUUUUAGUAAAUGCAAGACUAUCUUUAUACAGGCUGCAACAAUUGCACUCAAAGAAUGACAUUUAAACAAACUGAGUCAAGAUGAUGCAAAAUAUAAAUAUUUGAUUUAAACUUGGCUUGUAUUGAUUUCACUCUCUUCAACAGAUAAAUCAUGAGCUAAAUUGAUGUGAGAUUCUGGCCAAAUUACGACUAGUCCACUGUCUUUUACACAAAUUCAUUACUCUAGUUCUUACCAGACUUAAAAGAAAAAAAAAAUAAAAAAAUCAACAAACUGGUGAAAUGUUACUUUAAACUUCUUGGGCUGCAACUAAUCACCCAAGAUUAAUACAAACUGUAGUGCACUGUUCUUUUCUAUCUGCUCAUUACUUUAAGAGUGAAACAAGUUGAAAUUACA
This is a long non-coding RNA of Cygnus olor (mute swan), 1970 nucleotides long. RefSeq lists it as uncharacterized. The transcript is spliced from 6 exons. Lineage: Eukaryota; Metazoa; Chordata; Aves; Anseriformes; Anatidae. The record is from RefSeq and is a predicted model, not a curated record.